Molecule: ribosomal RNA, 468 nt
Filed under: uncultured bacterium
Lineage: Bacteria
Description: partial 16S ribosomal RNA
Rfam family: Bacterial small subunit ribosomal RNA
Source: RNAcentral
GACGAACGCUGGCGGCGUGCUUAACACAUGCAAGUCGAACGGAAAGGCCCUGCUUUUGUGGGCUGCUCGAGUGGCGAACGGGUGAGUAACACGUGAGUAACCUGCCCUGUACUUUGGGAUAACUUCUGGAAACUGGGGCUAAUACCGCAUAGGAGCUCCUGCUGCAUGGUGGGGGCUGGAAAGUUUCGGCGGUUGGGCAUGGACUCGCGGCUUAUCAGCUUGUUGGUGGGGUAGUGGCUUCCCAAGGCUUUGGCGGGUAGCCGUCCUGAGAGGGUGACCGGCCAUAUUGGGACUGGGGUACGGGCCAGAGUCCUACGGGAGGCAGCGGUGGGGAAUAGUGCGCAAUGGGCGGAAGGCUGAUGCAGCAACGCCGCGUGCGGAAUGACGGCCUUCGGGUUGUAAACCGCUUUCGCGUGUGACGAAGAGUGAGUGACGGUAAUGGGUCAAGAAGCAACGGCUAACUACGUG